CCCUUAGAUGUCCUGGGCCGCACGCGCGCUACACUGAUGCAUGCAACGAGUUUAUAACCUUGGCCUGAAAGGUCUGGGUAAUCUUUUGAACGUGCAUCGUGAUAGGGAUAGAUUAUUGCAAUUGUUAAUCUUGAACGAGGAAUUCCUAGUAAACGCGAGUCAUCAGCUCGCAUUGAUUACGUCCCUGCCCUUUGUACACACCGCCCGUCGCACCUACCGAUUGAAUGGUCCGGUGAAAUCUUGGGAUUUUGUUUUGUUUGCAUUUAUUUGUAUCGAGACGAGAGAACUUGAGUAAACCUUACCAUUUAGAGGAAGGUGAAGUCGUAACA
RNAcentral lists this ribosomal RNA (329 nucleotides) under uncultured eukaryote. RNAcentral's name for it is "partial 18S ribosomal RNA". It matches the Rfam family "Eukaryotic small subunit ribosomal RNA", at positions 1470 to 1796 of the family's 1831-position model. The record is from RNAcentral.